GAUGAACGCUGGCGGUAUGCUUAACACACGCAAGUCGAACGGACUCUUCGGAGUUAGUGGCGGACGGGUGAGUAACGCGUGAGAAUCUGGCUUUGGGUUCGGGACAACCACUGGAAACGGUGGCUAAUACCGGAUGUGCCGAGAGGUAAAAGAGAAAUUGCCUGAAGAUGAGCUCGCGUCUGAUUAGCUAGUUGGUGAGGUAAAGGCUCACCAAGGCAGCGAUCAGUAGCUGGUCUGAGAGGAUGACCAGCCACACUGGGACUGAGACACGGCCCAGACUCCUACGGGAGGCAGCAGUGGGGAAUUUUCCGCAAUGGGCGAAAGCCUGACGGAGCAAUACCGCGUGAGGGAAGAAGGCUCUUGGGUUGUAAACCUCUUUUCUUAGGGAAGAACAGAAUGACGGUACCUAAGGAAUCAGCAUCGGCUAACUCCGUG
RNAcentral lists this ribosomal RNA (435 nucleotides) under uncultured bacterium. RNAcentral's name for it is "partial 16S ribosomal RNA". It matches the Rfam family "Bacterial small subunit ribosomal RNA", at positions 28 to 507 of the family's 1533-position model. The record is from RNAcentral.